UGUCACUGUUGGGGAGUGCUAUAGAAGAGCAAUUCACCGCUCAACAAUAACGUCUUCCUUGCUUAAUUUUUUAAGGGGUUCCUCUUUUUCUUGCCAGUGUUUUGCAGCAAGAGCAUUUACUGUCAGCAGCUUUCCUGGAAUGGAAAGAAAUGGUACUGCAGGAUAUGCAUCUUACCUUGGAUAUUCAGCAGGGUGCUUCUGAGGUCUGCUUUUUCAUACAAGACCCUGCAGUUGGACCAGAAUCCAACCAGUAGAAUAUAAACAGGGUGUGUGGGGUGAAGAAAGAAGGAGAAGAAAUGGCCAUUGUGAAAGUUCAGUCAAAUGGAAC
Passer domesticus (house sparrow) is the source of this 328-nucleotide long non-coding RNA. RefSeq lists it as uncharacterized. NCBI's taxonomy places the organism in Eukaryota, Metazoa, Chordata, Aves, Passeriformes, Passeridae. The transcript has 3 exons. The record is from RefSeq and is a predicted model, not a curated record.